GAGGGUAUAGCUCAGUGGUAGAGUGCAUGCUUAGCAUGCAUGAGGUCCUAGGUUCAAUCCCCAGUACUUCCA
RNAcentral lists this transfer RNA (72 nucleotides) under Camelus bactrianus (Bactrian camel). It matches the Rfam family "tRNA". Rfam says of the family: Transfer RNA (tRNA) molecules are approximately 80 nucleotides in length. Lineage: Eukaryota; Metazoa; Chordata; Mammalia; Artiodactyla; Camelidae. The record is from Rfam by way of RNAcentral. RNAcentral also lists the same sequence under 2 other names.